This is a long non-coding RNA of Paramormyrops kingsleyae, 578 nucleotides long. RefSeq lists it as uncharacterized. The record is from RefSeq and is a predicted model, not a curated record. Lineage: Eukaryota; Metazoa; Chordata; Actinopteri; Osteoglossiformes; Mormyridae.
ACGUCACGGAGGAGCGCUCAAACCUCGGCGAUCGGACACAGCGCUGCCCCCGGCGCCCCGUGCUUUCAAGCACGCCUAAAGCCCCCAGGUAUCUGCAACCUGAGCACCAGUGACCCAAGAAGUACUUUUAUUGGAGGGCGGUUUCCCCGGGGAACGGAAGGAUGAACAGGGCGGUCGUACAAAGAGAGGAGGCGGAGGGGAAUUGUAGCGAGCGAAAUCGAGGGUUACAGCAGUGUGUCCUACGGGAAGAGGCUGAGACUGAGAGAAGGGGACCAGCAGCCAGACCUAAACAGCCACAAACACAACCCACCCUACCAGCACUGUUUGAACAACAGUGGGAAUACAGUGCCAAAUCACCAGAGGCACAAAAGCUCAACAGGGCUGUUGCCGAGUAAAUUUUUUUAUGGACCAGAUCUCUGUCUACACUGUUGAAAAACCUGGCUUUCAACAUAUGUUACACCCCCUGAACCCACAGUAUGUUCUCCCCUCCACAAGCCACUUCAUGUACACAGAAAUUCCACAACUGUACACCACCACCAAGCAAACGAUCCUAGCACAACUUGGGUCAGAAACCUACU